CAGAGCAGAGGCAAUCAGACUCAACUCUUAUUACAUCAAUGGCCAGAUUACAGUCCUCUACAGUGAUUUACCAGCACGGCAUCCCAGGACACGGGCCGCUCGCUCUCCCUGGGGUCCGUGAAUCAGCUGAGAGCAGAGGGAAGGUGCCCAUUAAAUGAAAAUGCAUUUAGCAUGUUACCUGUCUGUCAGGUACUGCAUUAGCAUACGAGUUUGCAGCAUUAAAGCCAAGAUGAAGUGAAACUUUGAAUGGUACGCCAAGAAAACAACAAACACCAAGGAUUGUAAGGUAUGACACUUCAAACGAUCUUAAAUGCACCUUUAGUGCAAAUGGUUUAGCAACAUGGACUGAAGUGAAUGUCAAGACGUUAACGCAGUAAAGAUGUGCAAUGAUGACUACAAAUGGCUGAGGUCACGACCAGUGAAACUACAUAAUAGCAUGUAUUACCUGAGCACAUCUCGUCUGUGCUGCUUUGUGUGCUUUGAGGUCUGAGGGCUCUAUUUUUGACUCCUUUUCUCUUGCCAAUUUUUCCACAGGCGAAACUAUAAAUCCAGAUGGCGUGGAGGAUCAACCCGAGCCGAUGGAAAAUUAACAGUGGAGGGCUGAAAAGCCUGAAAACAAAUAUAUUUAUGAAGGUGGUGAUGGAAUAAGAACUUCACACCUACAGUACCUUCCACACAUGGCUUCACACACUGGGAAGGGUAGAGAAAGCCCAGAUCAACGCAAAUGUAAAUGUGCCAUUUUAGUAUGUUAUAUUAUGUAAUUUUAUUGUCUAAUAAUGUUCUCCACUGUGAUAUUUCUCCCUGUUUCAUAAUAAACAUUGAACAAGGUAUCCAAACUGCA
Molecule: long non-coding RNA, 841 nt
Organism: Carassius carassius (crucian carp)
Lineage: Eukaryota; Metazoa; Chordata; Actinopteri; Cypriniformes; Cyprinidae
Exons: 3
Source: RefSeq, a predicted model, not a curated record